This 28-nucleotide small RNA is filed under the name Bombyx mori (domestic silkworm). RNAcentral's name for it is "ovarian small RNA-26394". Lineage: Eukaryota; Metazoa; Arthropoda; Insecta; Lepidoptera; Bombycidae. The record is from RNAcentral.
UCAUUUCAUUCAAAGGAGCCCGAGAUAU